Molecule: small nuclear RNA, 97 nt
Filed under: Canis lupus familiaris (dog)
Lineage: Eukaryota; Metazoa; Chordata; Mammalia; Carnivora; Canidae
Also listed under: 1 other name
Source: RNAcentral
GCUUUCUUCAGCAAUACAUAUGCAAAAAUUGAACAAUACAGAGAACUAGCACAGCCUCUGCACAAGGAUGACAUGCAAAUAAAGAUUAUGAAUUUUG